This 160-nucleotide ribosomal RNA is filed under the name Amanita farinosa. RNAcentral's name for it is "5.8S ribosomal RNA". It matches the Rfam family "5.8S ribosomal RNA". From Rfam's summary of the family: 5.8S ribosomal RNA (5.8S rRNA) is a component of the large subunit of the eukaryotic ribosome. It is transcribed by RNA polymerase I as part of the 45S precursor that also contains 18S and 28S rRNA. Functionally, it is thought that 5.8S rRNA may be involved in ribosome translocation. The record is from RNAcentral. Lineage: Eukaryota; Fungi; Basidiomycota; Agaricomycetes; Agaricales; Amanitaceae.
ACAACUUUCAACAACGGAUCUCUUGGCUCUUGCAUCGAUGAAGAACGCAGUGAAAUGCGAUAAGUAAUGUGAAUUGCAGAAUUCAGUGAAUCAUCGAAUCUUUGAACGCAUCUUGCGCUCCUUGGUAUUCUGAGGAGCAUGCCUGUUUGAGUGUCAUUAA